Molecule: ribosomal RNA, 431 nt
Filed under: uncultured bacterium
Lineage: Bacteria
Description: partial 16S ribosomal RNA
Rfam family: Bacterial small subunit ribosomal RNA
Source: RNAcentral
AACGAACGCUGGCGGCAGGCCUAACACAUGCAAGUCGAGCGCCCUUUCGGGGGAGCGGCGGACGGGUGAGUAACGCGUGGGAAUAUGCCCUUCUCUACGGAAUAGCCUUGGGAAACUGAGAGUAAUACCGUAUACGCCCUGUGGGGGAAAGAUUUAUCUGGGAAGGAUUAGCCCGCGUUGGAUUAGGUAGUUGGUGGGGUCAUGGCCUACCAAGCCGACGAUCCAUAGCUGGUGUGAGAGGAUGAUCCGCCACACUGGGACUGAGACACGGCCCGGACUCCUACGGGAGGCAGCAGUGGGGAAUCGUGGACAAUGGGGGCAACCCUGAACUAGCCAUGACGCGUGAGUGAUGAAGGCCUGAGGGUUGUAAAGCUCUUUCAGCUGGGAAGAUAAUGACGGUACCAGCAGAAGAAGCCCCGGCUAACUCCGUG